RNAcentral lists this transfer RNA (92 nucleotides) under Felis catus (domestic cat). It matches the Rfam family "tRNA". From Rfam's summary of the family: Transfer RNA (tRNA) molecules are approximately 80 nucleotides in length. Their secondary structure includes four short double-helical elements and three loops (D, anti-codon, and T loops). Further hydrogen bonds mediate the characteristic L-shaped molecular structure. tRNAs have two regions of fundamental functional importance: the anti-codon, which is responsible for specific mRNA codon recognition, and the 3' end, to which the tRNAs corresponding amino acid is attached (by aminoacyl-tRNA synthetases). tRNAs cope with the degeneracy of the genetic code in two manners: having more than one tRNA (with a specific anti-codon) for a particular amino acid; and 'wobble' base-pairing, i.e. permitting non-standard base-pairing at the 3rd anti-codon position. Lineage: Eukaryota; Metazoa; Chordata; Mammalia; Carnivora; Felidae. The record is from Rfam by way of RNAcentral.
GCCUGGGUGGCUCAGUGGGUUGAGCGUCUGACUUAGGCUCAGGUCGUGACCUGGCGGUCUGUGGUCUGUGAGUUUGAGCCCCGCAUCAGGCU